RNAcentral lists this ribosomal RNA (449 nucleotides) under uncultured bacterium. RNAcentral describes it as "partial 16S ribosomal RNA". It matches the Rfam family "Bacterial small subunit ribosomal RNA", at positions 328 to 793 of the family's 1533-position model. The record is from RNAcentral.
GCGCCAGACUCCUACGUUAUUCAGCAGUGUUUUAUAUUGCACAAUUUUUUUAACCCUGAUUCAUCGACGCCGCUUUUUUGAAGGAGCUUUUCUGCGCGUAAAUCCCUAUCGGCAUUUAAGAAGGAGGACUUUACCUGACUAAGAAUCCCCGGCUAACUACGUGCCAGCAGCCUCGUGAAUACGUAGUGGUCAAGCGUUAUCCGGAUUUACUGGGUGUAAAGGGGGAGCAGACGGCAGCGCAAGCCAGGAGUGAAAGACCGGGGCCCAAAAAAGGGACUGCUAUUGGAACUGCGCGGCUGGAGUGAAGGAGGGGCCGGAGGAAUUCCUGGUGUAGAGGUGAAAUGAGUAGAUAUCAGGAGGAAAACCGGUGGAGAAGGAGGCCUGCUGGAAUGCGACUGAAGUUGAGGCACGAAAGAGUGGGGAGCAAAAAGGAUUAGAUACCAGCGUAG